AGCUUCCCACAUACCCCAAAUUGUUUGAUUCCUCGCAUCGACGAUACUCUCAAGAAUACACGGUCUCUAACUGCGAACUCUAAAUCUUUUCUCCGCUUGUCGGCAUGUUAAGGAUUUUAUAGGUUGGCGAAUUUCGUAAAGUUGUUUGGAGUCUUGAAGAGUUGAUCGCAGAAGAUUUUGAGAAAAGAUUCAAAUUGGAGGACAAAGACUCAUUCGGAAAGAUCGACACCUAAGGUAUGUAGAAAAGAUCAUUUGUGGUGAAGAUACAUGAUUAAAAUAAGUUCAGAAGGCUUAGAUUGUUUUUAAACAAAUUUUCUGAACUUUCUUGUGUUCUGGGACCGGUCUCUGAAAUGGAGAGACCGGUUCCCCCAAGGUCCUCACUGCGUAAACCUUGAU
Molecule: long non-coding RNA, 396 nt
Filed under: Ananas comosus (pineapple)
Lineage: Eukaryota; Viridiplantae; Streptophyta; Magnoliopsida; Poales; Bromeliaceae
Description: long non-coding RNA (ACOM_LNC037443)
Source: RNAcentral